Theobroma umbraticum is the source of this 2050-nucleotide non-coding RNA. NCBI's taxonomy places the organism in Eukaryota, Viridiplantae, Streptophyta, Magnoliopsida, Malvales, Malvaceae. The record is from RefSeq and is a predicted model, not a curated record.
UUUAAUUCCCGCCCAGUGAGCGGUCGAGGGAAAACGAAAGUGGAAGAAAUCGACAGAGAAACCAGCGAAGAGAAUGGCGAAGAAGGGAAAUGCGAGCACAGUGGAUGACGUUGAUCGAUUGUUCGAAUGCUUCAAGUGUGGCAUCUCUCCUCCUCAAUCUGCUGUAAGGGAAAGAAAAAGACGUAAAAGCAAGCUGAAUCAAGAAAAUUCAGCAAGAAAGGUAUCUGCAUCACCUUGUACGCCGUCCUUAGAAUCAGCCGAACAAGGAAAGGAAACUGGAAACAAUGCACAACUCUCCGUUGAGAAGUGUGUUUCAACAAUGGUGAAGGUCGGAAAAUUUAGCCGUGGGAAACAGAUCUCACCAGUUAUAUUUUAUGGGUCUCCACAUGGCAUCCCUCCAAAAAGGCCAUUGAGUCUACUGCGUUUGUUACAUGAAAUUCGCAUUGACCUCAGUGAACAAGAGGAAUCCAAUUUAAGAACAGAAGUAUGGGUUACAUUUCCAAGACAGGAUGAAGCAGUAAAGUUUGCUAAAGGACAUGCCAAUGCACGUGUUUUUAGUUAUCAAGACCACUAUAGUGGGCAAAGAAGAUAUCUUGCUUCUACAUAUGAGGAGUUCUGGAAGAGGUACAAAAUUAUGGAUUCAAAAUUUCGCCAUCACUAUGAAGUGAUUCAGGAGGGUUUUCCAUGCCACCUGUACUUCGAUUUGGAGUUCAAUAAGAGAGACAAUGUGGGAAGGGAUGGAGACAAAAUGGUUGAUCUGUUGAUUUUGGUCAUUCUAGAAGCCUUACUUGAAAAAUAUUCUGUCAAUGGAAAUCAAGAUUGGGUGGUGGAACUUGAUUCAUCUACUGAAGAGAAGUUUUCCCGCCAUUUGAUCAUGCGCAUACCAAAGACAGCUUUUAAGGACAACUCACACGUGGGUGCAUUUGUUGCAGAGAUAUGCUCACGUAUAGCAAGUGCAAGGGAAAGGGAUAAAAGGUUUGAAACAUUAUAUGUGAAAAAGGCUUCGACCUCUGCUGAAUCACCUGGCCAACUUUUUGUGGACAAUGCUGUAUAUUCUAGAAAUCGUUGCUUUCGUCUGGCUCUAUCAUCAAAGGCCGGAAAGGCUUCCUUCCUCUUACCUACAGGGCGAUUCAAAUGUAAGGAAAUGGGUGAGGUGGACAUGUUCAUGGCAUCCCUAAUCUGCAACAUGGAUGUUGAUUGUGAGAAACUUUUGGUGUGCAAAAUGGAAUUAGAUUGUGUCAAGACUCUUCACUUUGAGACAGAGGUAACGAGUAAUUUUGGAAGAUAUUGCAGAGCUCCUCAAGAAAACACUUAUAUUAGUGAUGUUUCUACAACAUACUUAACGGGAAAGUCACCCUUCCCAUCUUUGGAUGAAUUUAUAGAAUCAAUUGCCUCCACCGGGAAUGUAUCAGGUAGUGUCAUGUACUUUAACUUAAGUAGCAAAUGACUAGCAUGUUUCAGUUAUCUGGAGGGAAAUCUAAGCCCUAUUAUGUGAUAACUAGCAGGAUGAGUUAAGUUGUUCUGGUUGAAAGAUUUUGUUAUGUUUAUUGUGGAUGUCUGUAGAUGUUUACUGUGGACUUGACUACAUAGUUCAAUAUUAUCUGGUUAGCUAUACAUUUCAAUGCAGCAUAUAUUGUUUCAAGUGUUGGGUUCUUUUUGAUUUGAGGGAGUUUGGUCUGACAUUUUUUAUCUUGUUGUUUGUUUAGUUGUAUUAUGCUUCGCCAGAGAGAUUUUGAUGAGAGGAAUUCUACUUGAUUAUUUUCCUUUGUUCAUAUAAGACAAUAGUAUUAUCAAUAAUAUCCAAUUUUUUUACCUCUGCUCUCAUAAUGCUUAACAAAAUUUCAUGUUAUUAAUUUUCUUCAUCUACUACUCACUUUCCUGAUAAUUUGCUGCGAUUGUAGGGAAAAUUCGAAGCUGGUAUUGGUUCUCCGAGUAUGGAUUAAUUGUUUACAGCAUGUCAAGAAAUAGAUACUGUGAGCGAAUUGGUAGAGAGCAUAAGAGCAACCAUGUGAUGUAUGUUGUUGAUAUGAGAAGGGCAGCUUAUUAUCAG